UUGUUUUUGCAGCAUGUCUAUUUAAAAAUAACAAAACAAACAAAAAAAAUGCCCACACAAAUCAACUUUAAUAAUGUUUCGGAUGAAGUUCUGUCUGGAGUGAACUGCAGCAACUUUCAAACACUAAUCCAGGAGAUUACAGAGAAACAUACUCUGCAAACAAAAGUACAAACUUCGAGGUUCCAGUUGCACUUGGCAUAGUUUCCAGACAUUUACCAACUUUCCAGCUUAGAGUCUCUCGUACCAGACUAACUUUCAUCUAUGGAAGUUUCAAAUAACUGAUAAUAGGUUUAUAUUACGAGGUGAACUAAAGCCGCUCAAAUUACCUUCAGAAGAUGUGACGGGU
This is a non-coding RNA of Ciona intestinalis (vase tunicate), 346 nucleotides long. The record is from RefSeq and is a predicted model, not a curated record. Lineage: Eukaryota; Metazoa; Chordata; Ascidiacea; Phlebobranchia; Cionidae.